This 448-nucleotide ribosomal RNA is filed under the name uncultured bacterium. Its description in RNAcentral is "partial 16S ribosomal RNA". It matches the Rfam family "Bacterial small subunit ribosomal RNA", at positions 330 to 794 of the family's 1533-position model. The record is from RNAcentral.
UCCAGACUCCUACGGGAGGCAGCAGUGGGGGAUAUUGCACAAUGGGGGGAACCCUGAUGCAGCGACGCCGCGUGGGUGAAGGAGCGUUUCGGCGCGUAAAGCCCUCUCGGCAGGGAAGAAGGAGGACGGUACCUGACUAAGAAGCCCCGGCUAACUACGUGCCAGCAGCCGCGGUAAUACGUAGGGGGCAAGCGUUAUCCGGAUUUACUGGGUGUAAAGGGGGCGCAGACGGCAGCGCAAGCCAGGAGUGAAAGCCCGGGGCCCAACCCCGGGACUGCUCUUGGAACUGCGCGGCUGGAGUGCAGGAGGGGCAGGCGGAAUUCCUGGUGUAGCGGUGAAAUGCGUAGAUAUCAGGAGGAACACCGGUGGCGAAGGCGGCCUGCUGGACUGCGACUGACGUUGAGGCCCGAAAGCGUGGGGAGCAAACAGGAUUAGAUACCCUCGUAAC